RNAcentral lists this ribosomal RNA (517 nucleotides) under uncultured Bacteroidota bacterium. RNAcentral's name for it is "SSU rRNA". It matches the Rfam family "Bacterial small subunit ribosomal RNA", at positions 355 to 875 of the family's 1533-position model. The record is from RNAcentral. Lineage: Bacteria; Pseudomonadati; Bacteroidota.
UAGCGAAUAUUGGGCAAUGGAGGCAACUCUGACCCAACCAUGCCGCGUGCCGGAUGAAGGCCUUAUGGAUUGUAAACGGCUUUUACCAUGGAAGAAUCUACCUUUGCGAAGGGAACUGACGGUACCUGGUGAAUAAGCACCGGCUAACUCCGUGCCAGCAGCCGCGGUAAUACGGAGGGUGCAAGCGUUGUCCGGAUUUAUUGGGUUUAAAGGGUGCGUAGGCGGCUUGGUAAGUCCGUGGUGAAAGCCAACAGCUCAACUGUUGAACUGCCAUGGAUACUGCCAGGCUUGAGUACAGACGAGGUAGGCGGAAUGGAUAGUGUAGCGGUGAAAUGCAUAGAUACUAUCCAGAACUCCGAUUGCGAAGGCAGCUUUCUAGGCUGUAACUGACGCUGAGGCACGAAAGCGUGGGGAGCGAACAGGAUUAGAUACCCUGGUAGUCCACGCUGUAAACGAUGAUUACUCGAUGUUGGCGAUACACGGCCAGCGUCUUAGCGAAAGCGUAAGUAUCCACGUG